UCGGGGUACACGAGCGGCGAACGGGUGAGUAACACGUGAGCAACCUGCCCCUGACUCUGGGAUAAGCGGUGGAAACGCCGUCUAAUACCGGAUACGACCGGCCACCUCAUGGUGGCGGGUGGAAAGUUUUUCGGUCAGGGAUGGGCUCGCGGCCUAUCAGCUUGUUGGUGGGGUAACGGCCUACCAAGGCGAUUACGGGUAGCCGGCCUGAGAGGGCGACCGGCCACACUGGGACUGAGACACGGCCCAGACUCCUGCGGGAGGCAGCAGUGGGGAAUAUUGCGCAAUGGGCGAAAGCCUGACGCAGCGACGCCGCGUGGGGGAUGACGGCCUUCGGGUUGUAAACCUCUUUUACCACCAACGCAGGCUCCCAGUUCUCUGGGGGUUGACGGUAGGUGGGGAAUAAGGACCGGCUAACUACGUGCCAGCAGCCGCGGUAAUACGUAGGGUCCGAGCGUUGUCCGGAAUUAUUGGGCGUAAAGAGCUCGUAGGCGGCGUGUCGCGUCUGCUGUGAAAGACCGGGGCUUAACUCCGGUUCUGCAGUGGAUACGGGCAUGCUAGAGGUAGGUAGGGGAGACUGGAAUUCCUGGUGUAGCGGUGAAAUGCGCAGAUAUCAGGAGGAACACCGGUGGCGAAGGCGGGUCUCUGGGCCUUACCUGACGCUGAGGAGCGAAAGCAUGGGGAGCGAACAGGAUUAGAUACCCUGGUAGUCCAUGCCGUAAACGUUGGGCGCUAGGUGUGGGGACUUUCCACGGUUUCCGCGCCGUAGCUAACGCAUUAAGCGCCCCGCCUGGGGAGUACGGCCGCAAGGCUAAAACUCAAAGGAAUUGACGGGGGCCCGCACAAGCG
Molecule: ribosomal RNA, 849 nt
Filed under: Nocardiopsis sp. EGI80061
Lineage: Bacteria; Bacillati; Actinomycetota; Actinomycetes; Streptosporangiales; Nocardiopsidaceae
Description: bacterial SSU rRNA
Rfam family: Bacterial small subunit ribosomal RNA
Source: RNAcentral